CCUACGGGUGGCUGCAGUGGGGAAUAUUGCACAAUGGGGGAAACCCUGAUGCAGCGACGCCGCGUGAGUGAAGAAGUAAUUCGUUAUGUAAAGCUCUAUCAGCAGGGAAGAAAAUGACGGUACCUGAGUAAGAAGCCCCGGCUAACUACGUGCCAGCAGCCGCGGUAAUACGUAGGUGGCAAGCGUUGUCCGGAUUUACUGGGUGUAAAGGGCGUGCAGCCGGAGAGGCAAGUCAGAUGUGAAAUCCGCGGGCUCAACUCGCGAACUGCAUUUGAAACUGCUUCCCUUGAGUAUCGGAGAGGUAAUCGGAAUUCCUAGUGUAGCGGUGAAAUGCGUAGAUAUUAGGAAGAACACCAGUGGCGAAGGCGGAUUACCGGACGACAACUGACGGUGAGGCGCGAAAGCGUGGGGAGCAAACAGGAUUAGAUACCCGAGUAGUC
This 440-nucleotide ribosomal RNA is filed under the name uncultured bacterium. Its description in RNAcentral is "partial 16S ribosomal RNA". It matches the Rfam family "Bacterial small subunit ribosomal RNA", at positions 338 to 795 of the family's 1533-position model. The record is from RNAcentral.